Canis lupus familiaris (dog) is the source of this 4338-nucleotide long non-coding RNA. RefSeq lists it as uncharacterized. The record is from RefSeq and is a predicted model, not a curated record. The transcript is spliced from 3 exons. Lineage: Eukaryota; Metazoa; Chordata; Mammalia; Carnivora; Canidae.
CAUGGUUGAUGCAAUAUAUAUAUAUAUGAAAUAUAUUUUAUAUAUUUAUAUAAAUGUAUGUAAUAUAUAUAUAUAAAUAUAUUAGAGUGGUUCCUUUAUGGAAGGCAACUAGAAGCAAGAACUUGGUCGACUUCAUCCUAACAUGAGAGUCCUUGUCUAAUUAAGUAGAACAAUUUGGCAGGAGGGAACAACCGUGAGGUCAAGAAUCCUACUACACUGGAGCGGUGGGGGGGGAUCUCCUGCUGCUGUACCUUAUGGUGGUACCCGGGAAAAGAGGUGACAUAUGGGAAAGCCCUUUGUCACGAGGGCUGACGUUCACCAGCCACUUACCGUGCGCAGACCCUGUGGCAGGCAAGUUACAGUCAUCUCGCUUCAUCCUCAACUACUACCCCGCCAAGGGAAGUAGGAGUAGGAGUAUGCCCCCGUGACAGGUGAGGGAACGGCCACGUGAAAUUUCAAUGACUUGUCCAAGGUCACGCUGUUCAGUUGCGGUGACAGAUUUUGGAUGUCGGUCAACAGCCAGUGUUGCAGUCCUCACCCUGUUGAGUGUCGGGGGUAGAGCAGAGAUCCUGAAUUAUGCCCUCUAAGUAGCCAAGUGAGAACAGAAAACCCAAGCAGCUUCCAGUUAUACACGUGAACUGCUUCACCCCCACGUAACACAACGGUCAUGAUAACACUGAACAUCCCAUAUUCGUUUUAUGAGAAGUUUUAUUUAAUAGCGACAGCUACUACGUGCCCGGGCUUCACAGCCUGUUGCUCUCACUGUAGAGACAUCUGCUAACAAAUUUUAGAACCUGGAGAAGACCGUCCAUAGGUGAGUGAUUAUGGCCUUCCUGACUUUCAGCCUCGGAUUGAAGGAGUCUUUCUCAACCGAAGUCGACGGCUCUGAUCGGAGCACAAGUGAUGCCUGUCACUGUCGCUGGGAGGCUGAGGUCUUCUGCAUCCAGCUGAAUGUCUCCUGUGAUGUGGGGCUGAGUUUUUCCAAGUCCUGCCUCCCAUCCUAGGCAGCCAUGCUGCUGAGGCUCAGGCCCUGUAAUCAGCACACAGCCACCACCUUUGCAUUUUCCUUCAUCAGACAUAGAGGAUCUUGGAGGUAUCCGGUUAGGAACUUCUUGAACAUGCUUUAGCAAUCACACAGCUUACCCCUGAUCCCAGUGACAUGGAACUUCAUGUGAUUUUAUACUGUUGUCCUCACAUUGUGCCCAAAUCUGCCCAAUGUUGUCUUCUCCAGGAAUUCAGCUGUGUCCACUGGAGCCCCCAAGAUAAUCUUGCCAGGCGGCCCUGCAGGCACUUUCUGAAGUGCUUGUGCCCCCAGAUGCCCACUGCCCAUCAGUCUUCUUCAACCCCUUUCCAUCCCAUUGCUUCCCCACAGAUGGCAGGUUCUGGGACAUGGGCCCAAAUACUCAGAAAAAGUGGCAUCUGUGUCUGUUGGGCCCCUCCUCCUCCGUGCCAGCAUGCUGCCCUUCUGCUCUCUUGAGUCAAGGAAUCUAGUAACCACGGCGUCAUGUGGGGUUUCCCAGCAUGGCAUUCCCACCACUGGAUGCCGACUCACCAUGGGCUGCUUCUCAGGCUUCAUCACCAUGCUUAGAGUGAGGAAAGCCAAUCUGGAUGCUCUUGGGUCUCAGCAAAGCCACUGCGUCGUCGAGGGCUUAGCUCUCCAGGGACAGGAAAGGGAGGAGGUAGCUUCCUUUCCCUGACUCGCUUCCCAGCAUGGCCCCGUGGAGUCGCUUCAGUGCCAGAGCAGUCUGGCUCUGCCUACUAGGAUGAGGAUUCGCUGCCCACUGGACCUCUUGUUUGGCUUUCCACUGUCUUGUGUAAUUUAGAGGGACUCUAAAAAAGCAUCCUAGCUCCGGAGAGGGGUUGAUGGGCCAAAUUGUUUGACCUUGCCCACAUCCCUGCGAUCACUUUAACAUCUACCAGGCUUAGUAGCAGCAGUCUCAGUUGGGUCCGGUGCUUUUGAGUUUGUGCCGUGGUGUCUGUCUAUGCAGAUAAGUCAGGAGAAGGGACACAGCUGGGAAUCAAGGAGCCAGGGGGUAGAUCUAUUUCUGCUACUUAAAUAGCUGUGUUAUCUUGGGAGAGUCGCCUGCCAUGUUUGUGCCUCAGUUUCUUUAGCCCCAUCAUGGGGUUAAUAGUGCCUAUUUUACAAUAGUUCAGGGUUUCUAAACAGGAGCCUUAUGGACACUUUGGCUUGAAUGAUUCUUUGUUGUGGGGGCUGUGAAUUGUAGGGUGGUUAGCCCCCUCCUGGGCCUCUACCCACUAGAUGCUAGUAGCACCUCCCCAUUGUGACAACCUGAAGCAUCUACAGACAUUGCCAUGUGUCCCCUGGGGGGCAACAUCGCCCCCCAGCUGGGAGCCACUGCAUUAGCUCCUAGGAUUACUGGGAUACACAGAAUAACCACCGGUGUAAAUGCAGACCAUCCUGGUGCCACCAUCAGCAUCCGUUAGCAUUUUGGUCUUCUCUGCUCUGACCAUAAUUAUGCAGAAGCAGAAAGAAGAAACCGCGUAUUCUAAGCCAGGCCCCUGUGUGAUCCAGCAGGAAAUGUGGAGCAGCAAUGAGUUACCACUGGGCCAGCACCUGAUGGAAAGCAAAACUAAAACAAGGAAGAAUGCCCUGGCUCCAGGUGAAAAUCUCCAGGCGAAAAAUCACUGCACACCCCAACGCUGGCCUUAUCAUGUUAUGUUAAGGAAAAAACACAACUGUGGGAGCUCAGUUGUAGAAGCCUUCGUUCGUGCCAUGAGCGGCUCCUGAUCAAAAGCAGACCCUGCCCUGUGCUGCUUUUGUGCCUUCCUCCUGGGCCUCUCAGCUGGACCUCGGUUCGGUUCCCCACCUCGCGGCAUCCCUGCAGAAGAGGGCCUCCCGCAGCUGGAACCAACAUGAACCUUAGACCCUGCACCCCGGACCCUGCACCUGAGACCCUGGACCCUGCACCCUGGACCCUGCAUCUGAGACCCUGGACCCUGCACCCGAGACCCUGAGCCCUGCACCCAAGACCCUGCACCCUGGACCCUGCACCUGAGACCCUGGACCCUGCACCCGAGACCCUACACAAAGGACCCUGCACCUGAGACCCUGGACCCCAGACCCUGCACCCAAGACCCUGCACCCUAGACCCUACACCUGAGACCGUGAACCCUGCACCCGAGACCCUACACACGGGACCCUGGACCCAGCACCCGAGAUCCUACACCCGGGACCCUGCACCCAGGACCCUGCACUUCGCAAGAGCACAAAGGCUCCCAGGAGGGCCUCAAGGUGGGGAAAUGGCAUGUUGUCCAAGCAUGUUCUAUGUCCCAGAGACUUUACAAAUGUGACUUCACUGAAUUCUCACGGUGACCCUGGGAGAUACUUUUCCGUUGCUACAUUACGGGCUAGAAUGCCAGGGUUCAGAAGGUAGAGUGGCACACAGCUACUAAGGGAGAGUGGGAGCAUUUGAAUCCAGAUCUGUGAUGCUUCUCACCUCCAGACUGAUUUUUUUUUUUAACCAUUUGCGAGUGGGUCCCAGCUGUCUCUGUCCUGAUGUCCGUUAUGACCUAAGAUACCAGCCUGUUGACACACAGUUGGAUGACACACUUUACAAACAUACGUAAAUAUCACACUCAUGGGGUUUUUCUUCCCCUUCAUUAUCUGAUUCAGGUAGAGGUGGGUCGGACUUCUAAGAUGAGGUGUAGUAGCUUCCUUUUCUUUGGCUUGGAUUUUCCCCCAGUUCAAGAGUGGCUACCAUCACCAGCUACUGGAACCCUCGAUCAUCCACCUUCUAUGUCUCAUGCUUCAGGUGGACCUGGGCAGUGUAGCCUCCUCCCGGUUAUCAGCUGUGGCAUCAGCCCACAAGUGCCCUCCAACUGGGCCUAUCCUCUCCCGUAGGGAUGAUUCCAUUCCUUAUUCCUGGCGGAGGCACACACACCCCAUCCGCUAACUCACUACCCGUGCUUCACAACGAUGCCUCAGCAAAUCUCCCUCCCAGGUCUGGGAAUUAAUCUAUGAUUCAGCAAAGCAGAGAGAUGGGGGUGUGGGAGAGUUGUCACAAGCAUUCUGGCCUCGAGUAUACAGCAAGCACUCUAUCGUGCCUCAUUGGGAGCUGUCUCGUGGCUCUGUGUCUCUCUGCAGCGGCUGCUGCGUGAGCCUCACAUGUCCCGCAGGUGAGCUCUUCCAUGUGAGGAGGGGGAGAGGGGUAGUUGAUAGGGCAGCCAGACAACCUGGCUCCGUCCAUCACUUGUUACCUUGGGCAUGCAGUGGCUUCCCUGCUGUGUGUCACAGGGUCCCCCUCUGUGGAAUGGUGAUAAGAAUAGUACCUAUGUCCUGGAGUUGUGAGAAUUAAAUAAAUUAGCCCAUGUACAAUG